RNAcentral lists this ribosomal RNA (492 nucleotides) under uncultured bacterium. RNAcentral describes it as "partial 16S ribosomal RNA". It matches the Rfam family "Bacterial small subunit ribosomal RNA", at positions 29 to 507 of the family's 1533-position model. The record is from RNAcentral.
AGUGAACGCUGGCGGUAGGCCUAACACAUGCAAGUCGAACGGCAGCACAGUAAGAGCUUGCUCUUACGGGUGGCGAGUGGCGGACGGGUGAGGAAUACAUCGGAAUCUACUUUUUCGUGGGGGAUAACGUAGGGAAACUUACGCUAAUACCGCAUACGACCUACGGGUGAAAGCAGGGGAUCUUCGGACCUUGCGCGAUUGAAUGAGCCGAUGUCGGAUUAGCUAGUUGGCGGGGUAAAGGCCCACCAAGGCGACGAUCCGUAGCUGGUCUGAGAGGAUGAUCAGCCACACUGGAACUGAGACACGGUCCAGACUCCUACGGGAGGCAGCAGUGGGGAAUAUUGGACAAUGGGCGCAAGCCUGAUCCAGCCAUACCGCGUGAGUGAAGAAGGCCUUCGGGUUGUAAAGCCCUUUUGUUGGGAAAGAAAAGCAGCAGAUUAAUACCCCGCUGUUCUGACGGUACCCAAAGAAUAAGCACCGGCUAACUUCGUG